This 2811-nucleotide long non-coding RNA is filed under the name Malus domestica (apple). RNAcentral's name for it is "long non-coding RNA (MDOM_LNC004559)". Lineage: Eukaryota; Viridiplantae; Streptophyta; Magnoliopsida; Rosales; Rosaceae. The record is from RNAcentral.
UGUCUUAGUGUCACAACACGAAUGGGAUGAGACUUUCCAUCCUUCCAUUUGAUGCGGACACAGUAUGUACCGGUCUAAGCAUUGUCAGUUUCCCUCCGACAAUCCAAUGACUAGGAACCUUUUGGACAUAAUGGUUAUUUGAAGAAGGUCUCUGUAGUCUAACAUCAUUAGAUUACUUCUUCAAUCGAUCCAUUAUCCAUGGAUACACUAUUUAGGACAUAUAUCAUUUAUUGAGAUAGUCCUAAUUCGUGUCUUUGCCAUUUGAUGUAUAAGAGUCAUCCAUACAUCAAUUCAUUUGUCCUGAAAGGUUUCUUCCAAAGAUUGACUUUCAGGGCAUAUUUCCAACAGUAAGUUUCGCCCAAUUGAGCUUGAAUGGUAGAAAAAUCCAUGUCUUACUUCUCUAGUACCUGAAAUCAAGGAAACAAAACUAAAUCAAAUAUCAAAAGUAAAAGAUAAAUAAAAAAAAAACUAAAUUUAAAAACACUUAACAAGACUCACAAGACUCAAUGCAAACUUAAAAUACUUAAAACAGCUUAAAACAACCAAAUAAACUUAAACUAGGCACUAGGAAUGACUUUGGACGAAAAUUGACUUUUACUUGAAUCAAAACACUUAGAAACACAAACUAAAACAGAUUUGAAACACUUUGAAACAAGAAACUAAAAGGGGGUUUUGAUUUGGAUGAAGUUGAAACAAACAAACAAGUAUGAAAAACUAGACAGAUUGUAAAACAAAUGUGAGAAAUAAGAUGAUGGAUGGGAUAGCUAAAGGCUUUUUCUCCACACAUGACAUGUAUGCAAAUAACUUGAUUUUCAGUUACUACUUCAUUGAAUUAUGAACGACAAUGCUCCAAAUUAACCAUGACAUCACUAGUUAACUCUUAGAUUUUCCUUGUUUUAUUGGAUUGGAUGACAUCAUUCGACAACCCAAAACAUUCUUCUAAAGUUCCCUACAUGACAUCAUAAUAGAGAUACAAUCAAAGAUCAUUACGUUUAAUGAAAAUCAUAAGCAUUGACAAAGCACUUGCAACUAUGACAUCAUGUCACUCAUGCUAGGAUUGAACUUAACGCGAUCGUUUAUAAGCGACCUUCACUACAUGUGAAUAUAAGUUUGUAAUGAUUAUGUGAAACUUCCUUAUAUUCUAGCAACGGAUUUAUGCAUGCCAAUUAAGUGUCGACCCUUAAUUAACAAAUACAAAUAAGUUAUCAAUCAAAUAGUUAAGCCAAUUGCAUUUACGAUUCAAGAGUUCAUAACUGGAAUUUAUCAAAUUAUAUUGCACACAUAAUCAUGGCUUUGAAAUCACCCCUAGCCAAGAGGGGUUUAGCCACUCAUAUUUACAACAAAACAAAAGGAAAUGAAUUUAAACAUUAGAAACAAAAGAAAGAAAACACCUAAACGCUCCAACGAUCCAAGUUGGACAGCAAGCACGUCCAAGCACUUUCCUUCCCUUCCUUUGCUACGGCACAAGGUGUUGAUGAGUGUUUGAAGGUUUGUUUGUAUGGAGGAAUGGAUGUGAAGAUGAAUGGAUGUGUUUGGAUGAAGGUUGUGUUGAAAUGGGAGUGAAUGAUCUAACCAAGUAUAUCCAAAUUUAUGUUACACACACUUCCUUUUAUAGAGGAAGUGCAUGGCAAUGGAGGGGAACAUGAAAUGGUGUAGCAAUUGAGUGCAAUGAUGCAUGAAAUCUAAAAUGAUGGAAGGAACAAGGAAUGGUGUAGCAAUUGAGUGCAAUGAUUCAAUGUAAUGAUGCAUGAAAUCUGAAAUGAUGGAGGGAACAAGGAAUGGUGUAGCAAUUGAGUGCAAUGAUUCAUUGCAAUGAUUCAAUGUAAUGAUGCAUGAAUCUGAAAUGAUGGAGGGAACAAGGAAUGGUGUAGCAAUUGAGUGCAAUGAUUCAAUGUAAUGAUGCAUGAAAUCUGAAAUAAUGAAGGGACCAAGGGUGAUGAUGCAUGGCAUGUGUGGAAAUUGGAGUGAUUUAUGGCAGAAAAUAGGAAAGGGAUGGCUCCCUUGCACGGCAAGGAAGAGAAAUGGUGAAGGAUGAUAUGGCUUGGACUUUUUAGGCAGGUUUAGGACUUGUAGAAUAUGUAUUGAAAUGUCCCAAAGUAUUUAGAAAUCCUUCGUGUGACCGAAUCUUUGGUAAUUUAGAUUAGAAAAGGUAAAGACAAGAUAAGGUAAGUUUGACUAGUCUUUCCUCUUUCUUGAUGGUUUCCUUGUCUUCCUUGGUCCUCUAUUUAUUUUCUUCCUCUCCUAGGCACAUUCCUAACUUCUUUAGAUCUUUAAUUUCGUCCAACCAUUUUGCUCCAUGCAUGUGCUAUCCAUUCCAAGCCUAAAACUGCUCCAAAAUGCACCUUAUUGCAUACUUUGUCCUUAGAACCUGAAAUUGCACGAAAAUGACUUUAAACACUAAAACAACUAAGGAAUAACAACAUAAAUGCAUGAGAACAAGCUAACUCAGUUGCAUAAAUAUGCUCCUAUCAGGCACGUGAACCAAAAAAAGGUAACAACCUAUUAGUUGAAAUGGGAAUUGUAAUUGGAAUAGGUGGCUCACCAAUGUAUUGCAAUGAAGACUCUAAAGUAGCAGCACUGUCAACAAUUUCAUAAGUGCUCUUAGCCAGAUUAGGUAAUUUGAGGGUAGUAGGGUGUCCCUUGUGAUCCACUUCAAUUCCCUCUUUGAUGGUGGUUCGAAAUACAUCCUUCUUGAUAGGUGUUGAACAUUCCUGCCCUAUAUUUUUAUUCACAUCAAUGGCAUAUGAUAGGAGCAUAUUUAUGCGACUUAGUUGGCUUGUUCUUAAGCAUUUAUGUUGUUUUUCUUUAGUU